GGCGACGUAGCUCAGUUGGCUAGAGCAAACGGUUCAUACCCGUUAGGUCAGCGGUUCGAAUCCACUCGUCGCUACCA
This 77-nucleotide transfer RNA is filed under the name Clostridium sp. Its description in RNAcentral is "tRNA-Met". It matches the Rfam family "tRNA". Rfam says of the family: Transfer RNA (tRNA) molecules are approximately 80 nucleotides in length. Their secondary structure includes four short double-helical elements and three loops (D, anti-codon, and T loops). The record is from RNAcentral. RNAcentral also lists the same sequence under 3 other names. Lineage: Bacteria; Bacillati; Bacillota; Clostridia; Eubacteriales; Clostridiaceae.